CUCGUGCUUUAACAUUUUUUUUAUUUUUUUUUAAAGAAUUAAUAUACAUCAUUACAAAAAUCAUGAAGUUACAUUAUAUGAAAUAAUAAAAGAAGUACAAAUGUGAUGACAGUCCUUUAAGACAGUUAACAAGAAGAUCAAAACCCAAGGAUAUACUUUGAAAGUAGUAAAUCCCUUCAUGGUGUACAUCAAGGGUGUAACACACAGAGCCAGACAGCUGGAUAGAACCCACCAGGCUUUUAAUCAAAGUCUUUGGGUGUUUAGUCCAGUAGAAACAAGGAUUCCACAUUUCAAACUGCUUGGUCUUCCUGCUGGGUGGGCACCUGCACUAUGGAAAUUCAACUCCUUAUUAAUGACACUCUAGUGGUAGUAGGGAGAUAAUGAUUAUAGUUCUUCUGCCUCUUGGUUCACAGCUGAAUUACAGGGUUAUUAACUUAAGUGACGAGUCAAACUUAAGGUCAUAAUAGCCCAAAUGGAAAACAUCUCUUAAGUUAGCUUUCCUUUUUUUUUUUUUUGCCACAUUUGGCCUUAAAAUGUACUCCUUUAGUAGGUAAUGUUAAACUAUGGUAGAGGGUGUCAGAAUUAGAAUGGACAACACUGGGAUAUGAGUGACAGUGGAUCCCAGUACUGUCCUUCUUAAAGGCUCUGCUAUGCUACACUUAACGAAGGAGAGUUGUAUAGAUGUGUUUUGAAUGGAGCGAUACAGAAAGACAGACAAAGAAAGGUAUAAACUAAAAAUAGGGGAAAUGAAUGGGGUAGACUCAAAUGGAGAAAUUACAAAUGAAUACGGGAGACUCAGUGGGAGUGACAAACUGAUAAUAUUGGGAAGAUAAACAGACUGAUACGGUUGGAACAGAUGGACAAAGAGAGAAAAACAUUUUUUAAAAAGGGAAAAAUAAUCUAAGACUGAUCCAAAGAGAGACAAAUCAGCUGAACAAAAAGUCCCAGUCUCUGACUCUUUUUCUUCAUUGAAUAUUAUAUCUGACUUUUUGACUACUACCCAUGUUCCUAAUACAUCACCCUCUCUCUGGAUUUAUCUGUAUUUUUCUCCACUUUGUCUCUGGCUGGGUCUGUCUCUUUUUUUCAUUAUCUAUUUUCAGCUCACUCUUUCCCUGUCAAUCUAGAGGUCCUUCUCUGCUUUGCUACAUUUUUGUUUGAGUCUGCCUUUCAAGAGACCCAAAAGACAGAUAAAAUGAAAGAUCAGAAAUGUUUGUGUUGUCUAUGAAUAUUAUUUAUAAAGCACCAACAAUUCAGGAGUGUUGUACAAUGGGUGGACAGAGAGACAUAUUUGUAACAAGAUGAGUUGGACACACAGGAACAUAGGGGGUUGAGGGUUCUGUUAAAAUGAGCUUACAUGCUAGAGGGAGCUGGGUAUAGUGACACAAAAGGUAAGGGUAGCAUAGAAAAGUAGGUUUCUAGAAUAGUAUCCACUGAGGGCUUAGUGUUUUGUAUUUCUUUGUAAUAUACUUUCACAUCUUGAUAGGAGUUUUGGGCAGGCAGAUAUUAAAGACAUUUGAUAAUAACCAAAGUAAAAUAAACUGAAUAAAAAAUAAUAAUUGAAUUUAGCCUAUUAUUCUCUAAGCAACUUGCUACUGUUAUGAAAUGGCAACUGAACAUAAAGAUACAUAAAUAGUGGGAUAUAACUUUAUUCUAAGAAAACAGAAAUUCAGAAACAUAGAAUUACAUGCAAAUCAACACCUGUAUGAAACAGCGUGUUAGACUGUACUACACAAGGCUGUAUUUAAACUUACAGUUCAUUUGACGUUGAUUUAACCCUUUUCAGUGCUCCUUGUGGCUAGAACAACUGGUUCAUACUUGCAUGUUUAUUCACUUAAUAUACAUUAAUUUUACAGGGUUCACAAAUUAUGACAUGUAUCAAAAAUAAAGAGACACAUUUAUCCUCAAUUUAAUCUAGUGAUGACCUGCACAGAUUAUAGAGGAACUGGGUGUGAUAUUUUUUAUUUAAUUCCUUCUACCAAGAAUUAUCAGAAUAACAUUUGAAGAAAAUACAUAACUCCCACUUGAAUUAUAUUCUUCGACAUGUAAAGUGUAAUUCGUAGUAGGCUACAUUAUGCUUUGAGGCCCUAUCAGCUCGUAAAAAAAAAAGUCCCAACAUUUUUGGAUAUUUGGAUAUAUCACAAUGGUGUACUAAAGGUCUGCAGACUAACUGCAAUAAAAAAAAUAAAAAAAUAGAAUCACCAUUUAAUGCUCAAAAUAACCUUUUCACCUAGUUCGUUAAUCUAAUCAUUCGAAAGCCAGAGAUGUGCCCACCGCAAUGCUAAGCAAGUGUUGUUAAACUUUAUUAUAAUUGCGAGGGUUACACUGAUAAAAGUGCAUAAUUGUACACCAAUAGGAUCAGUUUAGUCACCAACAUUACAUUAAUAUUAGAUAUGAAUUAGUGGGCACAUUUAGCUAUAAAACACAUUUUAGUUUAAACCAAGCUUUAACUUUCUGUGCAAAUAACUAUUACCUCCUCUGUGCGUGCCAACACCUGCUCCUUAAAUGGAAUUUCUCACAGUAUCUAGAUUCUUUCCAGGUGUUACAGACAUGGAAGGAAUGGCCAACCUUGCAAUUUGACUUUUACCGAGAGCCUAUGAUGAGCAUAGAGUGAAAACAUUUAAAGCUGCCACAGGGAAUACAUACUUCUCAACAUUUCACGGACAAAGAGGGACACUAUGACUUUAGGGGUGUGAGCGUCAGUGUGGCCAGGGGAAGGGCUGUUUUGAGACAUUUUAGGUGAUUUUACUCAUCACAAUUUAUGCAACUAAAAUAUGAGUUAGAACAAGAAGAAUGUAUUUUAUUUAACCAGACUGAUUUCUAAACACAUUUAUUGUAGUUUAAAGACACAUUACUGGAGGUAUUAUUGCUGUGGAGCUCUGUUAUACUUUCAAACACACCAACUUUAAGGAGGCCCUAGAAAAGAGGGACAUUAGGAUAGAAGAGAGAGACAUAGUUUUGGGGCCAGCAUAGGAACUGUCCAUCCUAAGUAGGGACACUUAAGAGGGAUGGAACUAGACUCCCUAUAUAUAUGUAAUGUUGUUCUUUAAAGUGUACAGGGGAUUUCGCCUGAGAGCCCUCAAUGCGGUCAAGCUGUGUCUUGCAGUGAAAAGUAAAUCACGAAACAUAUCUUCCCAAUCCUACUCAUGGUUCUUAUCUAACUAGGAAAGAAUAGUAUAAAUAAUUUCCAGACAAUAUUUUAAGGAAAGUAAGAAUACCUCUGGAAAGGCGAAACAGUACCCUUGUAGUCUCCCUUCUACAAAUUCACUUAAAGGAACACUCCAAAUACCAUAACUACUACAGCCCCACAAUGCAAGUUGUCAAAGCAUUUUACAAUGGUUUGAUUUCUUACCUGGGGUCCACCACUGCCUGACUCUGCUGUUUGGAAGCAGCCAGGUGGUGGAGGGCUUUACUCUUAUCUAAUGAGCCGACUCUGCACUGCAGAGAAGAAUAAAUGGUCUGCCUAUUUAUGGGUGGGGGUGCCAGGGCAAUGGUUCUUGUAUUUUUAGUGUUUUUUUUGUUUUGUUUUUUAAUAUUGAGAUUAUAUAAGUUUGUUAUGUCAUGUUCUCCAUUUUGUUCAGACACUAUGCAUAAAACAAAGAAAGAAUUACUUUGUACAACAGUUGUAAGGUAAAGGAAGGUAAAACCGGCAUUUCUCUUGUGUACCAAGUCAGGGAACAUAUGCAUAUUUUGUUAAUAACAUAUACAGUCAGGUCCAUAAAUAUUGGGCAUCAACACAAUUCUAAUCUGUUUGGCUCUAUACACCACCACAUGGAUUUGAAAUGAAAUGAACAAAAUGUGCUUUAACUGCAGACUGUAAUUUGAGGGUAUUUACAUCCAAAUCAGGUUAACGGUGUAGGAAUUACAACAGUUUGUAUAUGUGCCUCCCACUUUUCACCGGUGCGUUCUUUCUUUUUAAGGAUGUUCCAAACAGUUGAUUUGGCCACAUCUAAUGUUUUUGCUAUCUCUCUGAUGGGUUUGUUUUGUUUUUUCAGCCUAAUGAUGGCUUGCUUCACUGAUAGUGACAGCUCUUUGGAUCUCAUAUUGAGAGUUGACAGCAACA
Non-coding RNA from Pelobates cultripes (western spadefoot toad), 4060 nucleotides. Lineage: Eukaryota; Metazoa; Chordata; Amphibia; Anura; Pelobatidae. The record is from the annotation of a GenBank genome assembly.